This 500-nucleotide ribosomal RNA is filed under the name Shewanella sp. NB042. Its description in RNAcentral is "partial 16S ribosomal RNA". It matches the Rfam family "Bacterial small subunit ribosomal RNA", at positions 376 to 871 of the family's 1533-position model. Lineage: Bacteria; Pseudomonadati; Pseudomonadota; Gammaproteobacteria; Alteromonadales; Shewanellaceae. The record is from RNAcentral.
CGCAAGCRUGAUGCAGCCAUGCCGCGUGUGUGAAGAAGGCUUCGGGUUGUAAAGCACUUUCAGCGAGGAGGAAAGMUUAAGCGUUAAUAGCGUUUAGGUGUGACGUUACUCGCAGAAGAGGGACCGGCUAACUUCGUGCCAGCAGCCGCGGUAAUACGAGGGGUCCAAGCGUUAAUCGGAAUUACUGGGCGUAAAGCGUANGCAGGCGGUUUGUUAAGCGAGAUGUGAAAGCCCCGGGDUCAACRUGGGAACUGCAUUUCGAACUGGCAAACUAGAGUCUUGUAGAGGGGGGUAGAAUUUCAGGUGUAGCGGUGAAAUGCGUAGAGAUNUGAAGGAAUACCGGUGGCMNYGGCGGCCNNNUGGACYYHGAMUGAGGUUCAUGUACGAAAGCGUGGGGAGCAAACAGGAUUAGAUACCCUGGUAGUCCACGCVGUAAACGAUGUCUANUCGGAAUUUGGUGUCUUGAACACUGGGUUCUCAAGUAACGCAUUAAGUAGCCG